AGAAUAUGAAUGAUAAUGGCCAGAGAAAUGGGACAGAAAGAAAUUCAGAAGCACAAGGUGACAUUUCGAGAAGGAAACAGCCUGUACUACUAUUUAACGUAGCUAACGGUAAGGUAAGUGUAUGAGUACGAACCCCAAUGCCUUAAAAGGACUGUGCGCUUGGAAUUGGCCUUCGGUUAGGAAUUAUGUGGCAAUAUAACAGAACACCGUUAUCG
This 215-nucleotide ribosomal RNA is filed under the name Clathrina clathrus. Its description in RNAcentral is "large subunit ribosomal RNA". The record is from RNAcentral. Lineage: Eukaryota; Metazoa; Porifera; Calcarea; Clathrinida; Clathrinidae.